Molecule: ribosomal RNA, 711 nt
Filed under: uncultured bacterium
Lineage: Bacteria
Description: bacterial SSU rRNA
Rfam family: Bacterial small subunit ribosomal RNA
Source: RNAcentral
CGACCUGCCCCCCGCAGGGGGAUAACCGGGAGAAAUCCCGACUAAUACCGCGUAACGCCGCGGGGCUGCAUGGCCCCGCGGCCAAAGGAAGCGAUUCCGGCGGGGGAUGGGCAUGCGGCGCAUUAGCUAGUCGGCGGGGUAACGGCCCACCGAGGCGACGAUGCGUAGGGGUUCUGAGAGGAAGGUCCCCCACACUGGUACUGAGACACGGACCAGACUCCUACGGGAGGCAGCAGUGAGGAAUAUUGGUCAAUGGGCGGGAGCCUGAACCAGCCAAGUCGCGUGAGGGAAGACGGUCCUACGGAUUGUAAACCUCUUUUGCCGGGGAGCAACGGGGUCCUUGCGAGGGCCCAAUGAGAGUACCCGGAGAAAAAGCAUCGGCUAACUCCGUGCCAGCAGCCGCGGUAAUACGGAGGAUGCGAGCGUUAUCCGGAUUUAUUGGGUUUAAAGGGUGCGUAGGCGGGCUGUUAAGUCAGCGGUCAAAUGUCGGGGCUCAACCCCGGCCUGCCGUUGAAACUGGCGGCCUCGAGUGGGCGAGAAGUAUGCGGAAUGCGUGGUGUAGCGGUGAAAUGCAUAGAUAUCACGCAGAACUCCGAUUGCGAAGGCAGCAUACCGGCGCCCGACUGACGCUGAGGCACGAAAGCGUGGGUAUCGAACAGGAUUAGAUACCCUGGUAGUCCACGCAGUAAACGAUGAAUGCUAGCUGUCCGG